RNAcentral lists this ribosomal RNA (253 nucleotides) under uncultured bacterium. Its description in RNAcentral is "partial 16S ribosomal RNA". It matches the Rfam family "Bacterial small subunit ribosomal RNA", at positions 524 to 776 of the family's 1533-position model. The record is from RNAcentral.
UACGGGGGGGGCAAGCGUUGUUCGGAAUUACUGGGCGUAAAGGGUGCGUAGGUGGCGCGGUAAGUCGGGUGUGAAAUUUCGGAGCUUAACUCCGAAACUGCAUUCGAUACUGCCGUGCUUGAGGACUGGAGAGGAGACUGGAAUUUACGGUGUAGCAGUGAAAUGCGUAGAUAUCGUAAGGAAGACCAGUGGCGAAGGCGGGUCUCUGGACAGUUCCUGACACUGAGGCACGAAGGCCAGGGGAGCAAACGGG